Molecule: unclassified non-coding RNA, 3047 nt
Filed under: Gigantopelta aegis
Lineage: Eukaryota; Metazoa; Mollusca; Gastropoda; Neomphalida; Peltospiridae
Description: macrophage mannose receptor 1-like, transcript variant X1
Source: RNAcentral
AUGUUUUAAAUUCAUUAAAUAAUAGCUUGGCGGAUUUUAAAAAUAUUAAAAACAAUAUACGAUGUAGUCUAUCUACAUUUAGUUUCAUGUUUAAAGAACCACUUAAAUUAGUUUUUGAAGCAUUUAAAAAAAGAGAGAAACCGGACAAACAAUUAUAAGAUGAAAACAGUGGUUCUUGUGUUAUGUUUUUUGGUGAAUGUUUUGUUACACUUCAGUGGUUCAGCACGUACCUGUGCAAAUCUAGACAACUUCAACUUUUUACGAAGGAACAGAGACCUAACGGGCUUUCUAAUAGACGUUAUAGAAAACAUUGGAAUUGUAGAAUGUGCGGCAGAAUGCAAGCUCCGCAACAAGUGCAAAUCAAGCAGCUUUCAGCAUUCCAGUGGGAAAUGUAAACUUUUUGGAAUUACAAUCCAACAAGCAGGAAACUCGGUUGUCACAAAAACUGGAACUGAUAUGAGUGAUGAAUUAAACUGGCCUUCAAGAAUAGCCGGUCCUUGCGAAGACCAUACCUGUUCUAUCAACGAAGUUUGUGAACCGACGAGCAGAUACUCAAAGAAAUGUGUCGAAGCAGACUGUCCAAGCCCACCAACUGUUGCCGACGCCCAACCUGCCUUCACCACAACCUACGAGACGACCAAAAUCGGAAGUCAACUAACUUACACUUGUGAUUUUAACUUCCACCCAGUUGGUAACAGAACCUGUCUCCCAGACGGCACAUGGUCUGACUUCAAAUGUGAACUUGGUCACUGCCCAAUCGAAGACGGGUACAUACUACUUGAAAAUGUGUGCAUCAAGGUGACAAGUUAUAAGAAACAAUUUCCUGGAGCACGUGCGAAAUGCAGCGAAGCAGGUGACAGAUUGGUGGUCUUGGACACGGAGAGGAAAAAUGCAGUCGUCAGUGUCUACGUCAACACAAAUAUCGGUCCAGCGUGGUACAUUAUUGGCCUGUCUGACGUGCAAACAGAGGGCGCGUUUCUCUGGGAGGACGGACAUGUCGUCACAUUUACAAAAUGGAGACUCGGAGAACCAAACGACGAUGGAGGAAAAGAAGACUGUGUCGUGUUAGAGUCUAAGAUCAAGUCAUGGGUUGACAUCCCAUGCACGUACUCAGAACUAUACAUUUGUGAAAAACUACUCUGAGCAUGGUGACCAUAUGUCUGGCUCACCCGUUUCUUGUUGUUUGUUGUUGUUGUUUAUUGUUGUUAGUGUUGUUGUUGUUGUCGUCAAUGGUUGUUGUUGUUGACAUCCCAUGCACAGUCACAGAGAAGUACAUUUGUGAAAACCUACUCCGAGCAUGGUGGCCAUAUGCCUGGCUCGCUCUUUUCUCGUGUGUUUGUUGGGUUAAAUAAAUCUGAGCAUGGUGGCCAUAUGACGGGUUCAAUUUUUUCUCGUCAUUUUUUUAUUUUUUUAUUGUAUUGCUUCAUAUUAUUAUUAUUAUUUAACUGAGACGGCGACACUACUGUCAAAACAUCGAUGUGCUCAGUACAUAGCACAUAGUACAUAGCACGGCUCUUGAAAGGGUAGGGACAUUGCAUUGGGUUUUGCGAGUGCGUUUCGAUCCUACGACAUAAACACCUCAGUUGAGCGUUUUUAUUCUUAGCACCUUUACUGGUUAUUUAGAUUCGUGACCUAUCAUUACCUUUAAACGUCUUACGAUGGGACUGUACUGCAUCGAGCUUAAAGUUGUUGUUUUUUUGUUUUUUAUAACGGCACUAAUAGAGCACAUUUAUUUAUUAAUAAUCGAUAACUGGAUGUCAAAGGUUUGGUCAUUUUGAUGUAUAUCAUUAGAGAGAAAACCACACUACAUCUGUAGCAAGGGAUCUUCUAUAUAGACCAUGCCACAGACUGCAUACAUCGUACCACGGCAUUUGACACACCAGCACUUUGUGCACUGGUUGCAAUGAGAAAUAUCUCAAUGGUCCCACCGACGGGGAUCGAUCCUAGAUAAGCCGCGCAUGCGUGAUGCUCAAAUAGACUCUGCUGAGUGUGCUGCUUUUAGUAAAAUGUUUCCGCCUGAUAUAUAUGUAGUACACGUGUAUUUUAAGCAUAUAGGUUUUAUGUAAUUAAUGUUUAAUUUCAGGUUCUUAGAGGAGUAUGUACCUUUAAGUAUGGUAUUUAGUAUGUAUUUCAUUAAUGUUAUUUUCAGGCUGUAACAACUACAGGUUGAACAACAUAUCACUAUAAUUAACAUUUUAUCACCUUUUUUCUAGUAUUGCCCUGUAUCUGUGAUAUGUUCGUGUAUGCUGGUCAACCACGCGUGACCACAUCAGUGCAGUCAGUGUGAGCUCUUUUGGUAGCCAUAGCUACAAUACAAACACCCAAGCUAUCUUUAAACUUUGACCCUUGUCUCUUUCUCUCCCAUUGGAUAAUUAACACUCACAUGUAUCUGCAUGCUUUCUUUGGACUGACAAGACAGGACAGAAUUAUUUAGUAUUUGAAGAAACAAGUUCAGAUCAGAGAGAAAUAGUAGAAGUUUAAUUUAAAGGUUUCCCCAGUUGUUAUGGAAUAUAUCAACACAAUGCCUACGUGUAAUUCAUAUGGUAUGUUAAGCUACAGGUUAAGUCUAAUAUUUAUAUAUUUGUAAUUUUAAAUAUACUCUUGUAAUUUAUAUCCUUUCUUUCAUAAACUCAUUAAUGAUAAAGCUUUAUUACGUCAAAUAAUAAUUAUAAUUACAAUCAUUUAAAUAACCCUAUUUACUAUAAAUUAUCUCCCCUUUGCUAUAAUCAAUGAUUAUAAUUGGUGGUCACGAAAUGAUUAUUAUAUAUAUAUAUACAUGUAUGUUAACAUGAUUAAUAAUCGUGAUGACAGUAUUUAGGAUAAAGAGGAUGAUGAUUCAUAAUCAUCAGAAUGAUAAUUAAUGAUUAAUGACGGUUUUCUAUGAUUUCCAAUGUGUUUCAUUAAUAUAUGUUGUAUGUUUGUUUUACCUCGAUAGGGAUAUAUUUGUAUUGUUUUUACCAUAUUGUUAACGUUUGUGUUUUUAAUCCUUGCAGGGUGUGUCUUGUGUAUUAUGUUUACAUGAAUAAAAGAUGAUGCCCUAACCCGUA